CUUGGAAGGUGAGGAGUCCUGGUGGUGCUUGAGAGUGAGCUGCUCAAACUGAUACUCGACUGAGAUGACUGGGGCAUGCCGGUCUGCCUUAGCUGUAGUCCUGCCAGCCG
RNAcentral lists this microRNA precursor (110 nucleotides) under Cricetulus griseus (Chinese hamster). Its description in RNAcentral is "mir-692". The record is from RNAcentral. Lineage: Eukaryota; Metazoa; Chordata; Mammalia; Rodentia; Cricetidae.